Molecule: ribosomal RNA, 273 nt
Filed under: Triticum aestivum (bread wheat)
Lineage: Eukaryota; Viridiplantae; Streptophyta; Magnoliopsida; Poales; Poaceae
Description: partial small subunit ribosomal RNA
Source: RNAcentral
AUGACAGAUGCAUGGACAGAUAGGAAAGGCAGGGGAGUAAUUAACCUUGUUGUUCAUAGUGUUCAAGGACCCUUGUUUUUGAAUUCAGUUGAUUGCUCAUCUGUAAAAAAAAAUGGCAAAUAUAUUUUUGACCUUGUUGAUGAUUGCAUUGAAGAUAUAGGGGCAGAAAAGGUUAUUCAAGUGGUGACCGACAAUGCUAGUGUCAAUGUAGCAGCAGCAAGUCUAAUGAAAGCAAAGAGACCUUCCAUUUUUUGGAAUAGCUCAUUCUAUUGA